RNAcentral lists this ribosomal RNA (300 nucleotides) under Triticum aestivum (bread wheat). Its description in RNAcentral is "partial small subunit ribosomal RNA". The record is from RNAcentral. Lineage: Eukaryota; Viridiplantae; Streptophyta; Magnoliopsida; Poales; Poaceae.
AUGCGCUUGUUAUUUUUAUCACACUGUAAUCAAGCUUCUAUUGUUAUAGCAAUACGAAAUCCUAUGCAUCAAGCUUCUGUUCUUAUAGCAAUUACAGUUUUGAUACCUCUGUUUCUUUAUAUCAUCUUGUUGGGUUUCUGUUUCUCUUCAUAUAGGAUACAGAUAUAUGUGAUACUCAUGUGGUCCUUUCGCUGGAAACUUGCUAAUCUUAGGGGUGCUGCUACUGGUGUAAAAACCAUCUUAUCAAAAGAACUAAAGUACUCCCUCCGUUCCAAAAUAGAUGAACCAACUUUGUACUAG